UAUACUUGAGUUUCGACCUGAACUCAAGCGUGAGCACCCGCUGAACUUAAGCAUAUCAGUAAGCGGAGGAAAAGAAACUAACAAGGAUUCCCUUAGUAACGGCGAGUGAAA
This 111-nucleotide ribosomal RNA is filed under the name Nacobbus aberrans. Its description in RNAcentral is "partial 28S ribosomal RNA". The stretch from base 14 to 111 matches the Rfam family "Eukaryotic large subunit ribosomal RNA", at positions 1 to 98 of the family's 3401-position model. Lineage: Eukaryota; Metazoa; Nematoda; Chromadorea; Rhabditida; Pratylenchidae. The record is from RNAcentral.